GAACGGGUGAGUAACACGUAGAUUAUCUACCUUUGGGAGUGGGAUAGCCUGUAGAAAUAUAGGGUAAUACCGCAUGAGGCCUGUUGAAGAGAUUUGGCGGGUGAAAGGAGCAAUUGUUCCGCCUGGAGAUGAGUCUGCGGUCCAUUAGUUUGUUGGUGGGGUAAUGGCCUACCAAGGCGAUGAUGGAUAGCCGGCCUGAGAGGGUGUACGGUCACACUGGGACUGAGACACGGCCCAGACUUCUACGGGAGGCAGCAGCUAAGAAUCUUCCGCAAUGGGCGAAAGCCUGACGGAGCGACGCCGCGUGAACGAUGAAGGCCGAGAGGUUGUAAAGUUCUUUUCUUGGUGAAGAAUAAAUGUAUGAGUGGAAAGCGUACAAGAUGACGUUAGCCGAGGAAUAAGCCCCGGCCAAUUACGUGCCAGCAGCCGCGGUAACACGUAAGGGGCGAGCGUUGUUCGGAAUUAUUGGGCGUAAAGGGCGUGUAGGUGGUUUUAUAAGCCUGGUGUUAAAAUCUCUGGCUCAACCAGAGUCGUGCGCUGGGAACUGUGAGACUAGAGUUCAGGAGGGGAAGCUGGAAUUCCUGGUGUAGGGGUGAAAUCUGUAGAUAUCAGGAAGAACCACCGGUGGCGAAGGCGAGCUUCUAGCCAUGGACUGACGCUGAGGCGCGAAAGCGUGGGGAGCGAACCGGAUUAGAUACCCUGGUAGUCCCCGCUGUAAACGAUGUGCCCUGGGCGUAGGAUUCUUAUAGGAUUCUGUGCCGUAGCUAACGCGUUAAGUGCACCGGCUGGGGAGUAUCUCGCAGGGGUGACCUCCCCGGACUUGACGGGGGCCCGCACAAGCGGUGGAGCAUGUGGUUUACUCCGAUGAAUCGCGAGGAACCUUACCGCGCUUUGACAUGUUCCUGGCAUGUCGCCGACAUGUUGGCAGCUCCGUUACAAGCGGGUACACAGGUGCUGCAUGGCUGUCGUCAGCUCGUGUCGUGAGAUGUUGGGUU
This 995-nucleotide ribosomal RNA is filed under the name uncultured organism. Its description in RNAcentral is "bacterial SSU rRNA". It matches the Rfam family "Bacterial small subunit ribosomal RNA", at positions 100 to 1081 of the family's 1533-position model. The record is from RNAcentral.